GAUGAACGCUGGCGGCGUGCCUAAUACAUGCAAGUCGAGCGAACGGACGAGAAGCUUGCUUCUCUGAUGUUAGCGGCGGACGGGUGAGUAACACGUGGAUAACCUACCUAUAAGACUGGGAUAACUUCGGGAAACCGGAGCUAAUACCGGAUAAUAUUUUGAACCGCAUGGUUCAAAAGUGAAAGACGGUCUUGCUGUCACUUAUAGAUGGAUCCGCGCUGCAUUAGCUAGUUGGUAAGGUAACGGCUUACCAAGGCAACGAUGCAUAGCCGACCUGAGAGGGUGAUCGGCCACACUGGAACUGAGACACGGUCCAGACUCCUACGGGAGGCAGCAGUAGGGAAUCUUCCGCAAUGGGCGAAAGCCUGACGGAGCAACGCCGCGUGAGUGAUGAAGGUCUUCGGAUCGUAAAGCUCUGUUAUUAGGGAAGAACAUAUGUGUAAGUAUCUGUGCCCAUCUUGACGGUACCUAAUCAGAAAGCCACGGCUAACUACGUG
RNAcentral lists this ribosomal RNA (497 nucleotides) under uncultured bacterium. RNAcentral's name for it is "partial 16S ribosomal RNA". It matches the Rfam family "Bacterial small subunit ribosomal RNA", at positions 28 to 507 of the family's 1533-position model. The record is from RNAcentral.